GCGGAGCUGCGCAGAGGCAGCAGGGCAGCGUGGGGAGCCCUGAGCCGGGUGCUGGGGGCCCCCCAGUGUUGGGCGGGGAUGCAGGCUCCGGGAGCCUUGGAGCUCUGGGGGAGGGAGGGAGACGGCUCUGCGGCCCCAAGAUGCACUCCUGGCAUGCGUGUUCCGAUGGGCAGCUAGGGUCUCCUUUAUCUCUUUCCUCCCGCGGUGACCAGUGGAGGCUCUGCACAUAGUCAGUGCUUUAUAAAUGUUGACAAAUUUUCUGUGUGGGUCCAGGGUGGCCAUCGCUCUUCCCUUUCUCUCAGGCCCACAUCCCCACACCCGAGCGUGCAUGCAAGGACGGGCCGAGGCCAAGUUGGCCACUCCUUUGAGCUCACUGCUCAGGCCGAUUAUGCCGCUGGGGACAAGACUGCGACCGCUGGGCGUGCCCUGCCCUGGCGUCGCUGAAGGCCUGGGUGACCUCAGCACGGAUCCCAGCACUGACUUCCCUGCCAGUGACGGAGUCCGGUUGGGCCAAAGCGACGAGGGAGUGAGAGGCCUGAUGCUAGAGAACUUUGCCGCACUGACUGUUGAUACUCCCUCCUCUUCAGAAAGCUCCUCCGCUGCCAUUCUCUGUUGCUCAGCCAGAAGCUGCUAAAGUUCCCCUGCAGACAGUUCCUCAACACCACCAGUGUCUACCUGCGAACAUAUGGAUGCUGCUACAGUGACAGUGUCAUCCUUUCUUCCAGGGAGAUCUCAGGGCCUUUAGAGAGACAGUGGCCCAGGAUUUCUCAAUUAACAUCACAAAGGAAAAACCCACAUUUGGGUCAUAACUCAAGACUUUGGUUAUGAGUUAAAACUAAAAUUCUGGUCAUAACCCCAGUUGUUUAUAUGUCAGGCUGGUCAUAACACGAGGGUCCACUGUACUCUGAUCUGCCUGGAGCAUUUGCAUGGUAGUGUGGAGUCCUAGCUCACUGCCUGCCUGAACAGAGGGCUGUGGUGGGAAGGCCUGGCUUCUGAGAUUUCAACAGCAUGGAAACUUCGGGGAUUGGGAAAUCCCACAAAUACUAAUCUUAGCAUUUGGGGAUCUCAACCUUUUGUUUAUGUUUUGCUUGGUUAGUCAUUCAUUCACCUCCCGUUUGACAGACUGUCCCUUCUGGCACAGGUUUAGGUUUCCCUUCUCGAGUGGACAUAGCCUGGACGGUGGCUGAGUCUAGGCAGGGUAAAGGCUGCAGCCAGGAAGGCCCAGGACACAAAGCCUGCAAGGAUGGAGCCCCUGCUCCAGAACACAGCACAAUCCUCCGCCCUGCAGCCCUGGGGGCGGACUCUGCCCCAGCCGCACAGCUGGGCGAGGAAUCAGACAAGAGAUAGUGAAGCAGCACCUUUAAUAGAUAUCAACCUGACAAAGUGCUUUCGGUGUUCCCAGCUGCUGUGACGCUGUCUAAGCCUUUUCCAGGCUGACAAUGACUCCUUUCCAUUCACACAAUGUUCUUCCUCUUGCCUCUGCUCCAACCUCCCCUCAUUACUGCUCCCACUCUGCAAGAAAAGGCUGAGUGCUUUUCCACAGAAACACAUUUAAAUCUCCCUCUCCUUCCACUCUGUCUCCUAAGAAAGUGUAGGGUGGCAACGCUUCCUACCCCAACAAAUCCACUGCUUAUUCUUUACACCUGCAAAGCCUCUGGCCAAGGGGGAUAACUCCUGCCACCACCACUUGCAGGAAGCUUUGCUUCUCUUGCAGGCCUGAGACCACCACCUCUUGGGCGCUGUAUGCUUUCCCGGGAAGUGCACAGAGCCCACAGGCCUCAGGUGGGAAAGAUGCAGUCUGUUUUGAUAGAGUCGUUGUCACCCAGCCAGGCAAUGGUAGCAUGGGUCGCAGGCGAGACCCUGACCCCCAGACGGCCCCACACCAAAGGACAUCGGUUUGGCUCAAAUGUUCUGUGCAAAGGCUUGGGGAGCCUUCGGGGCGGUGUGAUACUGAAGUGGUAAAACACUUGCCCUGCCAUGGAAAGGCCCUGGGCUCAAUCUCCACUCCUGCAAGAAAAUAAAACAAGCUCACACAGAACGAGUCACCUGUGCUGUGUUUAUCCUAAACUGGUCAAGAACUUGAGGACUCUGCUGAGUUUUCCUGCAAAAACCACAAAGUUUCAUGGGUGGGUUGGCACUCUCCUGAGCGAGGCAAAAGCUCAGUGCUGCAGUCUGUAAUGAGAAUCAAGGCCUGGGGCAGAUUUUGGUGAAAUUGGCUAUUCUUUGCUCUGCCCAAAAUGCAGCCCAGCGACAAGGCCUGUCAAGAAUCAUUUAGGAAUUUGUCUUCAGAACCAGUGGCGUCUUCAGCAGGGCCGUGGCUUGAAAGUAUUCUAAAAACCACAGGGAACAUCUUCCCGGUGAAUCACAAUCUGCCUGGUACGGAGAGAAAUCAAUGAAAUAAGCCUUGGUUCUCCCUUGGACGUUUGGGCAAUUGAGAUAAAAGCACUCUGUGGCUAUGGUCCACAUUGUUUUCGGACCUGAAGCUGAAUUUGCCAUUUGAAUUUGUUCUGAGGCAGGAAGUGAGCGUCUGGAAAGACAAAGGAAGUGUGGGGUGUGGUGAGCAAACGAAUACAUUUUCUAUGAUUUUUCCCCAAGAUUCAGUAGACCCAGGAUUUGAUCCCCUGGCCGAGUCCUACUAAAUUCUUUUACCCUGUAACGCCUGGAUUCUUUCUUCGAGUGCCAGAAGAAGUUCAUUACCUACAAGGACUUCUCAGACUGCUAAUGGAAACAGCCAAAGGCGAAGAACUAUAAGCAGAUCCCCAGAACUGCGGGCCGGGUCUCCAAUCCUACUCCAGCCUGGACGUAGAAUUCUUCUCCUCACACCCCACCAAAGCCAGCCCAAGAGCACUGCCUGGCAUGGUCAACUCUGGCCCAGCCCACACCACGUCAGUUCUGAGUCUGUGCUUAGAAUCUCCUCUGCACGGAAAGCAAACACGAGUACACAGAAAUCCCAACAGCAAAGGCUUGGGCCUGCAGCAGGGCUGAUGUGCGUCUCCACCCUGCGACAGAGCCAGUUGUUAGGGGUUCAGGAGGGGAGUGAGGUUUAGGCACAGGCGUACAAAUUUUUAAAGCACUUUUGAAAAUACCUCUGUAUAUAGCAGUGAAUGCUUGAGAUGAAUAAUUCUUUUCCUAGGGCCAGAUCAGGUCUGUUUAUCACAAAUGUGCACCCUUGCCUAAGAAAAGGGUCCGAGAAGGGGCACAGCAAGUGGGAGUCUUCCCAAGAGGAUUUAAAUGCUUACCAAGGUAUAUAAGUAAACCCAGAAAAAGUGCAGGAAUAACUAAGGAUAGAAGCGUUGGCCAGCGGAAAGAUGAACUCGCUAACCAGUGGUGGUGAACACAAGGCACGUGACUCAUUGUGCUUUUCUCUUAAGACAAAACACGUUAAUGUGUGAGUUGUUUUUUCUAAACUAAGACUUCGGUAUUCAGGUUUAAUUGCAGUGUUGGCACUUUACAAUAAAUAAGUGGAUUUGUGGUUGCAGUUUGGGCCCUUCUCUCUAAACAUUCACAAUCGCUGCAUGAGAUAUAUCUAAUAAUCCCUCUGUUUCUUAGAGAAAGGUACAGAUUGGGCUCUGCAGUCUCUAUCAGCUGAUAUAAACAGAAAAAUGCCAUCAGCUGCAUUAAGCUGCUGUGUCCUUAAGAUACAGAAUCAGUUCAGGACAGGCGCAGCUAUUCAGGCCGGGUUAGAGGUGUGUGUGGAGGCAGGGCAGGCGCUUAUUUCUUUUUGCGGGGGACUGAGGGCUUCUUGGGUGUGUCCCUGUCCGUGGUCAAGCCAGGAAAGUUCCCGGCAAACCAGGACGAGUUGGUCCCCUAAAGGGCCUUCCUGGCACGAAGCCCUGGCUCCACCUAGAAUACAGGCCACUGCUCCCGGACAUGUGUCUGUUCCAAGCCUGGCAGCUGCAGGAGGCCCCAGAGCCGCAGGUGCUGACCUUGGGGUUAUGACAAGUUGUUGGCUCAGUGUUUGUAAACCAUGUCCGAGCCACAGGGUGUAGGGGACAGAAAGGACAGUGGGGAAGAGGGAAAUCCCAGCAGAAAUGCUCCUGCUGUAGCUGCUUGGAGAGAGUAAGCCAGGGAAACGUGCCUAUAAAAGGCCUUGUAGGACACAGCCUCGGCCACCUGCCCCGCAGGCCCUGCUGGGCAUGUACAAGGUUGCAGCAGCCGGUGCCCAUAGGCAGGGGACCCUGCAGGGCAGACCAGAUCUCCCCCGUCCUUGGCUGGCUUGCCUUGCCUCAGCCUACCUUGGACUGUCCCGAUUAGCUCUCAAAAAAAGAUCCUUAGACUGAUUCUUGGCAAUAAAAGGCAGAGAUGUGCAACCUCAGACUAAAUUAGACAGCUUCCACGGUGGCCCUUUGUCUAGUGUUGCAGCUGAGAGCUAGGCUGCCCAGCCAGAAGACACUCCCUUCCUUUUAUAACCAGUGUUCUAACACUGACAUCCUGUGCUGGAACAUUCUGUCCUGUGCCAGCAUGGCCUUUCGUCUGGCAGAGUGCAUAAUAAAUAGAGGAACGCUUGCUGCCCUAGUCUAGGAAUGCGACAUAAUUCUGUCCCGACUUUCCAAAGUCAUUCUCCUUGGAAGCCUGACAGUCACGGUGGCUCCCCGGGCAAGAGAAUGCUGCCCCCUGGUGGUCGUGCCUUCUUCAGGCUCUCGCUGGGUCUCUUUCUUCCGCCAUAUUGGGUAAUGAGGCAGAAGCAACAUUCCACAAAUUUCUUACAAGGAUCCCACUAGGACAAUUUUCUGAAUCUCUUCAGGGAAAGUAGUUGAUAUUACACACUGCGUUGCUUCAGCUGGCAUGGGUCUGAGAUUGGGACGGGCUAGAGCAAAGUUGUUUUUAAGAAUCAUUUUAUACAUCUGGUUUUUAACAUCUGUAGGGGCUAGACAAUCAUGCUACAUCAGAUCCCUCCAGAAACUGCCAUGAGUCUCAUGGGCUCCCUUCUACAGAGGGCCUACUCAGGAGGCAAAUUCAAGAAGUAACGUCUAGCAGGUCCAGGGACAGGAGACCCUGGAAAAAGCACCUGCCCCUGCUGUGGACCACUGGGGCUAGAUUAAUUAGAAUGCGCGAGGGUGGAUCUUUUGGGCUGUUCUAUAUUCCUGCCAUGUUGGAAACGGAAAGCUUGCAUUAUGGGAAUAAUUCUGCAACUAGCUCACUUUCGGCUUGCUUUGGAGAACAGGUCUCCCUCUCAUCGGGUAAGGUCCAGCAGUCCUCAAUUCCUCCACUCUGCUCGCUCUUGCUCGACUUACCAUCGGACUAAAUCAGGGCCAAGUUCUGCCGCGUUCACCCCUCACCAGGAAAACGUGUACGGCCAUGUGGGCCGUGUAGCAGCCCUCCUGGAGACCUGUCCCCUUCUGUCGUGAGCAGCUGAGCUGGGCGUCACCAAGUGCCGGUCAGAUGCGUUUGCUUCUGGAUCUGUUGGCUGCCAGCUGCACUUGCGAUGACAAUUAUGUGACUUAGUUAAUAAUACAC
This 5457-nucleotide long non-coding RNA is filed under the name Fukomys damarensis (Damara mole-rat). RNAcentral describes it as "lncRNA (ENSFDAG00000026038.1)". The record is from RNAcentral. Lineage: Eukaryota; Metazoa; Chordata; Mammalia; Rodentia; Bathyergidae.